AUGCAAGUCGAACGAUGAACCGGCUUCGGUCGGGGAUUAGUGGCGAACGGGUGAGUAACACGUGGGCAAUCUGCCCUGCACUCUGGGACAAGCCCUGGAAACGGGGUCUAAUACCGGAUACGACCUGUCAAGGCAUCUUGGCGGGUGGAAAGCUCCGGCGGUGCAGGAUGAGCCCGCGGCCUAUCAGCUUGUUGGUGGGGUGAUGGCCUACCAAGGCGACGACGGGUAGCCGGCCUGAGAGGGCGACCGGCCACACUGGGACUGAGACACGGCCCAGACUCCUACGGGAGGCAGCAGUGGGGAAUAUUGCACAAUGGGCGAAAGCCUGAUGCAGCGACGCCGCGUGAGGGAUGACGGCCUUCGGGUUGUAAACCUCUUUCAGCAGGGAAGAAGCGAGAGUGACGGUACCUGCAGAAGAAGCGCCGGCUAACUACGUGCCAGCAGCCGCGGUAAUACGUAGGGCGCAAGCGUUGUCCGGAAUUAUUGGGCGUAAAGAGCUCGUAGGCGGCUUGUCGCGUCGGUUGUGAAAGCCCGGGGCUUAACCCCGGGUCUGCAGUCGAUACGGGCAGGCUAGAGUUCGGUAGGGGAGAUCGGAAUUCCUGGUGUAGCGGUGAAAUGCGCAGAUAUCAGGAGGAACACCGGUGGCGAAGGCGGAUCUCUGGGCCGAUACUGACGCUGAGGAGCGAAAGCGUGGGGAGCGAACAGGAUUAGAUACCCUGGUAGUCCACGCCGUAAACGUUGGGAACUAGGUGUGGGUCACAUUCCACGUGGUCCGUGCCGCAGCUAACGCAUUAAGUUCCCCGCCUGGGGAGUACGGCCGCAAGGCUAAAACUCAAA
Molecule: ribosomal RNA, 837 nt
Filed under: Streptomyces sp. WMMB 666
Lineage: Bacteria; Bacillati; Actinomycetota; Actinomycetes; Kitasatosporales; Streptomycetaceae
Description: bacterial SSU rRNA
Rfam family: Bacterial small subunit ribosomal RNA
Source: RNAcentral